Molecule: ribosomal RNA, 433 nt
Filed under: uncultured bacterium
Lineage: Bacteria
Description: partial 16S ribosomal RNA
Rfam family: Bacterial small subunit ribosomal RNA
Source: RNAcentral
AACGAACGCUGGCGGCAUGCCUAACACAUGCAAGUCGAACGAGACCUUCGGGUCUAGUGGCGCACGGGUGCGUAACGCGUGGGAACCUGCCCUUAGGUUCGGAAUAACUCCCCGAAAGGGGUGCUAAUACCGGAUAAUGUCUUCGGACCAAAGAUUUAUCGCCUUUGGAUGGGCCCGCGUUGGAUUAGCUAGUUGGUAGGGUAAAAGCCUACCAAGGCGACGAUCCAUAGCUGGUCUGAGAGGAUGAUCAGCCACACUGGGACUGGGACACGGCCCAGACUCCUACGGGAGGCAGCAGUGGGGGAUAUUGGACAAUGGGGGGAAGCCUGAUCCAGCAAUGCCGCGUGAGUGAUGAAGGCCUUAGGGUUGUAAAGCUCUUUUACCCGGGAUGAUAAUGACAGUACCGGGAGAAUAAGCUCCGGCUAACUCCGUG